CCUAACACAUGCAAGUCGAACGGUAACAGGAAGGAGCUUGCUUCUUUGCUGACGAGUGGCGGACGGGUGAGUAAUGUCUGGGAAACUGCCUGAUGGAGGGGGAUAACUACUGGAAACGGUAGCUAAUACCGCAUAACGUCGCAAGACCAAAGAGGGGGACCUUCGGGCCUCUUGCCAUCGGAUGUGCCCAGAUGGGAUUAGCUAGUAGGUGGGGUAACGGCUCACCUAGGCGACGAUCCCUAGCUGGUCUGAGAGGAUGACCAGCCACACUGGAACUGAGACACGGUCCAGACUCCUACGGGAGGCAGCAGUGGGGAAUAUUGCACAAUGGGCGCAAGCCUGAUGCAGCCAUGCCGCGUGUAUGAAGAAGGCCU
Molecule: ribosomal RNA, 374 nt
Filed under: uncultured bacterium
Lineage: Bacteria
Description: bacterial SSU rRNA
Rfam family: Bacterial small subunit ribosomal RNA
Source: RNAcentral